CCUACGGGUGGCAGCAGUGGGGAAUAUUGCACAAUGGGGGAAACCCUGAUGCAGCGACGCCGCGUGAGUGAAGAAGUAAUUCGGUAUGUAAAGCUCUAUCAGCAGGGAAGAAAAUGACGGUACCUGAGUAAGAAGCCCCGGCUAACUACGUGCCAGCAGCCGCGGUAAUACGUAGGGGGCAAGCGUUAUCCGGAUUUACUGGGUGUAAAGGGAGCGUAGACGGCAGUGCAAGUCUGGAGUGAAAGGCGGGGGCUCAACCCCCGGAAUGCUCUGGAAACUGUACGGCUGGAGUGCAGGAGAGGUAAGUGGAAUUCCUGGUGUAGCGGUGAAAUGCGUAGAUAUUAGGAGGAACACCGGUGGCGAAGGCGGCUUACUGGACUGUAACUGACGUUGAGGCUCGAAAGCGUGGGGAGCAAACAGGAUUAGAUACCCCAGUAGUC
This 440-nucleotide ribosomal RNA is filed under the name uncultured bacterium. Its description in RNAcentral is "partial 16S ribosomal RNA". It matches the Rfam family "Bacterial small subunit ribosomal RNA", at positions 338 to 795 of the family's 1533-position model. The record is from RNAcentral.